AAUCAACGCUGGCGGCGUGCCUCAGACAUGCAAGUCGAACGAUUAAAGCUCUCUUCGGAGAGUGUAUAAAGUGGCGCACGGGUGAGUAACACGUAAGUAAUCUACCUUCGAGUGGGAUAACGUCCGGAACGGACGCUAAUACCGCAUAACGCAGCGGCAUCGCAAGAUGACAGUUGUUAAAGAUUUAUCGCUUGAAGAGGAGCUUGCGGCAGAUUAGCUUGUUGGUAAGGUAACGGCUUACCAAGGCUACGAUCUGUAACCGGUCUAAGAGGACGGUCGGUCACACUGACACUGAAUAAC
RNAcentral lists this ribosomal RNA (300 nucleotides) under uncultured bacterium. RNAcentral's name for it is "bacterial SSU rRNA". It matches the Rfam family "Bacterial small subunit ribosomal RNA", at positions 32 to 327 of the family's 1533-position model. The record is from RNAcentral.